GUCUGCGUCUGCCUGGUCGUGCCCUGGGAAUGGCCAUGUCUUGUGCCCAGGAGCAGAGGAAGCCAGAAGGUACAGAGGUCAAGAAAGGUCAAUUCGUAUUCCUUAGCCACAUUCCCCCAAAACAGCUGCAUCAUGGAAGGAGAAAUCUCCCUAAGGACUGGAACCAGAGGAGAUAAACUUUGGAACUAACUCCUUUAUUACCUUAAUAGGCUCUAUUUACAGCUCCAGUCAGCCAGCACCAACAGUCACGCCACACAGGGAAAAUUAUCUGGAUUUGUUUAAAAAACACGAUUUGGUCUGCCAAUUAUUCUUUAGGAAGAAUGAAAUAAGAAUGUGUCUCGUGGUGCAUCCGGCUCUUCGACCACGGGGCUGACGUUUUACCUCGUGCAGUCGAUUCCCUCCUACAGUCAUUUCCUAAGAAGUUUCAUGGUAUUUUUUCCAUCCAACUCCAUUAUUUCGUAAGUUUCUGCUAAAGCUCUUCACUUCACUUUCAAACUGUGCUUUCUCCAAUUGCCAAGAUGCUUGCAGUUUGAACAUAGCCACCUCUGCAUUUUAUUUCAUCGUCUUAUAUUUGGUGCAUGUGUGCCUCCGUUCUCCUGGGAUGUUUUCGAAAGAUGUGUGGAGCCCGGCGGUGAAUCCAUUUCUCCCCAGCACCUUGGUUUCUUGUCUUCUGAUCCACCUACCACCACAGCAGAGGCAGAGUCAGACAUCUGGACAGAUGCUGGAUCUCCCUUUACCACUUAACGUUUGUUCCAGACCUGCCUUCAAGUUUUCAAACUUUCUUCUGUUCUCCCUAAGUUCGCUCGGUCCUAUUCCUUCCCGCUGCCGCCAACUGUAGUGCAGAGCUUUGGGGGGACCCAGAAGCCUGUAGAACAGGUGUUUACUUACCUACCUGAAUUCCAACCAGAAGAACCCAUAAAGAGUCAGUGGAAUGUGCAAAGUCUUCAGAUGUCAUGGACUUACAGUCAAACCAUAAAACCAUUAGCAAGGAAAGCACCAUUUAAAUACUUAUCUGGGAAACAAUCUACUUCUAUAUAUAUCCAAGAA
This is a non-coding RNA of Equus caballus (horse), 1047 nucleotides long. NCBI's taxonomy places the organism in Eukaryota, Metazoa, Chordata, Mammalia, Perissodactyla, Equidae. The record is from RefSeq and is a predicted model, not a curated record.